Non-coding RNA from Macaca mulatta (Rhesus monkey), 564 nucleotides. Lineage: Eukaryota; Metazoa; Chordata; Mammalia; Primates; Cercopithecidae. The record is from RefSeq and is a predicted model, not a curated record.
AACAGGAUGAAGACAAAGAGGAGGACGAGGAGGAGGCUGAGGAUGAGGACAAGGAGGAGAAGGAAAAGGACAGCAAAGAGGAUACAGAAAUUGCUUGUGGCGCCUGUUCUGCUGAGCAUAGAGUAUGGGAUACGGCUACUGAGUAUAAACUGGAGUACUUUUUUGGAGAAAGUCUCCCAAUGUCUUUAUUGUUCUUCUCUAAAGAAGCUACUGAAUAUAAGUAUGAAAAUUCUGAUGAAGAGGCUCAAGAAGCUGGAGGCAAGAAGGAGAGAGAAGAGGAUGAAAAUGAAGAACUGGAAGAAGGACUAGAAAAGGAUCCGGACUCAGCAGAGGACAGCACCUUCAAAAAAUCCAGCUUGGAGGCGGAGAAAGAAAUAGAUGGAGAAAUAAGAAAUUAAUUUCCUCUUCAUGGAUGUUCUAGUUUUCAGUAGCUCAAACAACUGGUUUUGUUAAAGUUCAUUACACAAAAAUGAUGUCAACUGAUAUCUGAUUUUACUCUUACAUUUUAUGUAUAUGUUUGACAGCAUUUGUUCAUGUUAAAAAAUAAAAGCUUGUUUGAAAUGA